Molecule: long non-coding RNA, 759 nt
Filed under: Sorghum bicolor (sorghum)
Lineage: Eukaryota; Viridiplantae; Streptophyta; Magnoliopsida; Poales; Poaceae
Description: long non-coding RNA (SBIC_LNC003517)
Source: RNAcentral
UGGCUUGUGCUGCAGAAGUGUGAUUUACCGAUUAAUUGCUCUAUAUUCUCUUGCUCUUGUCCACCUUUGUAUAGGUAAUAAAUUAUAUAUAUGUUAGCUAUUUAGUCCUACAUUCCAAGAUAUAAAUAUAUGCUCUUUGGGAUUGGAUAUACUCCCUCCAUCUCAAAUCAUAAGACAUUCCAAGAAUCUUGAAUAGUCGUCAAAAUAUUUCAAGUUUGACCAAAAUUAUACGAUAAAAUAAUAAAAUUGAUAAUACCAACUAAGUAUCAUUAGAUUCUUCAUUAAUUAUAUUUUUAUAGUAUAUCUAUUUAAUGUCAUAAAUUUUUGUAAUUCUCUCUAUAAUUUUAAUCGAACUUAAGAUGUUUUGACUCUCCAAAAUUUCUGAAAUAUCUUAUAAUUUAGAAUAUAAGGAGUAUAUUCUAAAUCUUUGUACUCUGUUUUCUCUAACUUAAUAUAUUUGAGUCCUUAGUAAAGAAAAAAAAAAUCUUCCAAACUUGGUAACGAAAGAGAAAGUUGAAAGCGGCGGUGUUGCAAAUCAAUUAAUGGCGGCACCGUACGUCGACUAAAAAGAGAGACUUGGUCACAAAGUGUAGGAUCGGAUCUUCCAAGUAGUGUGCAGCAAUCCACCUGUGAAUGGGAACAACUCACCCCCCACCAUGCCCGUUUGGCCGUUUGGAAAAAAAAAAAUGAGCGACCGACCGACCGACGCCAGCCCAGCAGCCGCUGUUCCAUUUCGUUAUGCACCGAAAUUCAGGCCUC